GCCCCCGUAGACCAAUGGUAGAGUCAGUAGACUUAAAAUCUAUCCAGUAUGGGUUCGAGUCCCAUCGGGGGUA
RNAcentral lists this transfer RNA (73 nucleotides) under Candidatus Nutricula glyptotermitis. RNAcentral's name for it is "tRNA-Leu". It matches the Rfam family "tRNA". From Rfam's summary of the family: Transfer RNA (tRNA) molecules are approximately 80 nucleotides in length. Their secondary structure includes four short double-helical elements and three loops (D, anti-codon, and T loops). The record is from RNAcentral. Lineage: Bacteria; Bacillati; Actinomycetota; Actinomycetes; Bifidobacteriales; Bifidobacteriaceae.